RNAcentral lists this ribosomal RNA (752 nucleotides) under Paraburkholderia sp. Its description in RNAcentral is "bacterial SSU rRNA". It matches the Rfam family "Bacterial small subunit ribosomal RNA", at positions 236 to 981 of the family's 1533-position model. Lineage: Bacteria; Pseudomonadati; Pseudomonadota; Betaproteobacteria; Burkholderiales; Burkholderiaceae. The record is from RNAcentral.
GCAGAUUAGCUAGUUGGUGGGGUAAAGGCCUACCAAGGCGACGAUCUGUAGCUGGUCUGAGAGGACGACCAGCCACACUGGGACUGAGACACGGCCCAGACUCNUACGGGAGGCAGCAGUGGGGAAUUUUGGACAAUGGGGGCAACCCUGAUCCAGCAAUGCCGCGUGUGUGAAGAAGGCCUUCGGGUUGUAAAGCACUUUUGUCCGGAAAGAAAACCUCCNNNNUAAUACNNNGGGGGGAUGACGGUACCGGAAGAAUAAGCACCGGCUAACUACGUGCCAGCAGCCGCGGUAAUACGUAGGGUGCGAGCGUUAAUCGGAAUUACUGGGCGUAAAGCGUGCGCAGGCGGUGCUGUAAGACCGAUGUGAAAUCCCCGGGCUUAACCUGGGAACUGCAUUGGUGACUGCAGCGCUGGAGUAUGGCAGAGGGGGGUGGAAUUCCACGUGUAGCAGUGAAAUGCGUAGAGAUGUGGAGGAACACCGAUGGCGAAGGCAGCCCCCUGGGCCAAUACUGACGCUCAUGCACGAAAGCGUGGGGAGCAAACAGGAUUAGAUACCCUGGUAGUCCACGCCCUAAACGAUGUCAACUGGUUGUCGGGCCUUCAUUGGCUUGGUAACGUAGCUAACGCGUGAAGUUGACCGCCUGGGGAGUACGGUCGCAAGAUUAAAACUCAAAGGAAUUGACGGGGACCCGCACAAGCGGUGGAUGAUGUGGAUUAAUUCGAUGCAACGCGAAAAACCUUACCUACCCU